This 440-nucleotide ribosomal RNA is filed under the name uncultured bacterium. RNAcentral describes it as "partial 16S ribosomal RNA". It matches the Rfam family "Bacterial small subunit ribosomal RNA", at positions 338 to 795 of the family's 1533-position model. The record is from RNAcentral.
CCUACGGGUGGCAGCAGUGGGGAAUAUUGCACAAUGGGGGAAACCCUGAUGCAGCGACGCCGCGUGAGUGAAGAAGUAACUCGUUAUGUAAAGCCCUAUCAGCAGGGAAGAAAAUGACGGUACCUGAGUAAGAAGCCCCGUCUAACUACGUGCCAGCAGCCGCGGUAAUACGUAGGGGGCAAGCGUUAUCCGGAUUUACUGGGUGUAAAGGGGGCGUAGUCGGCGGUGCAAGUCUGGAGUGAAAGGCGGGGGCCCAACCCCCGGACUGCUCUGGAAACUGUACGGCUGGAGUGCAGGAGGGGCAGGCGGAAUUCCUGGUGUAGCGGUGAAAUGCGUAGAUAUUAGGAGGAACACCGGUGGCGAAGGCGACUUUCUGGACUGUAACUGACGCUGAGGCGCGAAAGCGUGGGGAGCGAACAGGAUUAGAUACCCUAGUAGUC